This is a long non-coding RNA of Raphanus sativus (radish), 648 nucleotides long. RefSeq lists it as uncharacterized. Lineage: Eukaryota; Viridiplantae; Streptophyta; Magnoliopsida; Brassicales; Brassicaceae. The record is from RefSeq and is a predicted model, not a curated record. The transcript has 2 exons.
CAAGGGUGCAGAUUUAUUCUUUUUAUUUUCAUUUUUUUCUUCUCUCUCUCUGUGCCGACACCCACAGAUGACAGAUCUUCUUCUUCAUUCUUUUCUCUCUUUUUCGUUUAUCUGGUUAACAGAGAACAUAUGAGAUGAUAAUGGAGAUGACGAAGACUCGCUGGUGAGGAAGACUCGUCGGUGACGAACGCCAGAGGCUCACCGGAGAUGAAGCGCAUCAGAUAAGUCUCUCGCUCUCUCUCUCUCUCUCUCUCUCUCUGUUUUGAUUUUGAUUUUGAUUUUGAGUAUGAUUUUGUUUUUGUUUUUUCUGGUAGAAAAAUGUAGAUGAGGCCGAAUAAGAUGAUGUACGGUGGUGGUGCUUAGGGAAUAAUGGUGUGCUCGAGAAGGAGUUUAAGGAGCUCGACGGUGAAUAAGAAGUGUGACAGUGGAGGACACAGAAGAAGCUUUCCGGAGAUGGUGGUGACCAUGACGGGAUGAGGAAAGAGCGGCGGCUUAGGGUUAGGAGUUAGGAUAGGUUUUUGGUUUUGGUUUAGUUAUUUUGGUUUUACCUAAUCUUAUUUAGUCUGGUUUAGUUUUGUAAACCAGAUUCUAUUUGUAAACCAAUUCUCAAUUAUAAAUAAAAAUUAUUAUAUUUUAUAUUAUAAACAA